UGGGGAAUUUUGGACAAUGGGCGAAAGCCUGAUCCAGCAAUGCCGCGUGUGUGAAGAAGGCCUUCGGGUUGUAAAGCACUUUUGUCCGGAAAGAAAUCCUUGGCUCUAAUACAGUCGGGGGAUGACGGUACCGGAAGAAUAAGCACCGGCUAACUACGUGCCAGCAGCCGCGGUAAUACGUAGGGUGCAAGCGUUAAUCGGAAUUACUGGGCGUAAAGCGUGCGCAGGCGGUUUGCUAAGACCGAUGUGAAAUCCCCGGGCUCAACCUGGGAACUGCAUUGGUGACUGGCAGGCUAGAGUAUGGCAGAGGGGGGUAGAAUUCCACGUGUAGCAGUGAAAUGCGUAGAGAUGUGGAGGAAUACCGAUGGCGAAGGCAGCCCCCUGGGCCAAUACUGACGCUCAUGCACGAAAGCGUGGGGAGCAAACAGGAUUAGAUACCCUGGUAGUCCACGCCCUAAACGAUGUCAACUAGUUGUUGGGGAUUCAUUUCCUUAGUAACGUAGCUAACGCGUGAAGUUGACCGCCUGGGGAGUACGGUCGCAAGAUUAAAGCUCAAAGGAAUUGACGGGGUCAU
RNAcentral lists this ribosomal RNA (574 nucleotides) under uncultured bacterium. Its description in RNAcentral is "partial 16S ribosomal RNA". It matches the Rfam family "Bacterial small subunit ribosomal RNA", at positions 355 to 922 of the family's 1533-position model. The record is from RNAcentral.